AUUGAACGCUGGCGGCAUGCCUUACACAUGCAAGUCGAACGGCAGCACGGGAGCAAUCCUGGUGGCGAGUGGCGAACGGGUGAGUAAUAUAUCGGAACGUGCCCAGUCGUGGGGAUAACGUAGCGAAAGCUACGCUAAUACCGCAUACGAUCUAUGGAUGAAAGCGGGGGAGUCGCAAGACCUCGCGCGAUUGGAGCGGCCGAUAUCAGAUUAGGUAGUUGGUGAGGUAAAGGACUCACCAAGCCGACGAUCUGUAGCUGGUCUGAGAGGACGACCAGCCACACUGGGACUGAGACACGGCCCAGACUCCUACGGGAGGCAGCAGUGGGGAAGUUUUGGACAAAUGGGCGGCAAGCCUGAUCCAGCAAUGCCGCGUGCAGGAUG
RNAcentral lists this ribosomal RNA (384 nucleotides) under uncultured bacterium. RNAcentral's name for it is "bacterial SSU rRNA". It matches the Rfam family "Bacterial small subunit ribosomal RNA", at positions 30 to 410 of the family's 1533-position model. The record is from RNAcentral.